Long non-coding RNA from Sciurus carolinensis (gray squirrel), 722 nucleotides. RefSeq lists it as uncharacterized. NCBI's taxonomy places the organism in Eukaryota, Metazoa, Chordata, Mammalia, Rodentia, Sciuridae. The transcript has 3 exons. The record is from RefSeq and is a predicted model, not a curated record.
UGGGACUCACUCGGGAGGAGGGAGGGUCCUCCAGAGCUGUGCAUGUUGGGCCUAUGGAGGGCGGGACUGGAGACGUCGGGCGGGUUUUAACCUGCUUCCCCAGCUUAGCUCACUGAACAAGCUUGUCUUUCCUCCUCGACCUGUGAUGCCAAAUCCUACUAAAAUCCAGGCCGCCCUGCCUGCAGCCUGCAGGUAAACAGGUCAGAGAUGUGUUGAAACGGCUCGUCUGAGUACUUUGUGCCCAGCGCUUACGGUGCGGUGCUUCCGGGUGGAUUCUAGCAGGCGCUUGGCCUGCGGCCCUGCCAGACGUCGGCGUCCUGGGCCGUUGCUGACCCCCUACCUGAGUCACUGCCUCAACAGCCAGUGGUCGCUCAGACUCACGCCAUGAUCACGGGCUGACCGGCUCAGGAUCACUUCUGGCACCCUGCUACUUACUCUAAAACACACCCUAUCAAGUUCUUUCGGUGAUGGCAAACUUUUGGUCUUGGUCUAAAUCCAACUUUACCUGGCUCUUGAAUAUUGUAGCUCACUGUGUAAGAUUUGAUGGACAGUUACUUUCUGUUACCAUUGAAAACAAUCUCACUGGCCUCAGCGAUCCCUAUCGUCGAUGGGAAGUCUUUAAAAUCUAAUUAUCUUUCAUUUUUAAAAUGGACUCUUAAUACUUGUGCACAAUGGGGAACAGUGUGACAUUUUGAUACAUUAUAAAUUGUGAAAUGAUUGAA